Molecule: long non-coding RNA, 1986 nt
Filed under: Triticum aestivum (bread wheat)
Lineage: Eukaryota; Viridiplantae; Streptophyta; Magnoliopsida; Poales; Poaceae
Description: long non-coding RNA (TAES_LNC025331)
Source: RNAcentral
GGUCCAAGUGAAGUAAGUUAUUCAUUAACUUGAUUUCACUUGUGUUCUACAUCAAAGUGCUCCAUAUGUGAUGCUUCUUACUAAAGGGAAUCCCGUCUCAACACAUCAAAAAAUCAAUUAAAAAGAUUUGGCACUGGUUGUGGUUUGUUGAUAUUGUUUGUUAUUCUUGCGCACCAGGUGUUUGAGUUUUUGUCAAACCAAUAGCAACAUCCUCAGAGUGAGUCGCAGCUACAGGCCGCCCUUGAGCUCUGUUCAUACUUUUUUUAUUGUGUUGUGACAUGCAGGUUUUUGUUGUUGUGUUGAUUUAUUAAAUUUGGCUAUGAGUCUAACUGGAUCUGAUAGGUAAGAGGCUCAAGCUGAACCCCUGACCCUCUUAUGUCUCUCCAUGUGCCUUCUUAUCCGGUGAAGGAUACACCAGCGCCAGCCACGUACUGGUCAAGAUCGAUGGUUAGUGGCCCUGCUCUGCCCGCAUAUAGCCUUAAUGGGGAUGCUGUCUAUGUUAGCUUAGUGCAGAAUUAGAUAAGGCCAGGUACUUUACUAAAUCGUUGUCCUAUGCCACAUUGCUAAAUACAGUAAUUAUUUGGGAAGUUUACAUCCACUGAAUUUCUAUCUUGGCAAAAGCAGAUCCUGAUUUGGUGCUGAUUUUUGCCAUCUGCAACUCCUUUUUUUAGUUAUAAUUAUGUUGAGAACUAGUAAGAUUCACACAAACAUCUCAUUUUGUAUAAUUUAAUUUAUCCUGAGAGAUAGGCUUUAUAGUACCUUAUUUCCUAAUAGCUGCAUAAAUAACCCAAUAAGCCUUCAGUCCUACAUGAGUUUUCAGUUACGUUUGUAAUUGCCUCUUUUGCUCUGAUUUUUGGUUCUCAGCUAGCCAUAGUGAUAUCAUCAGAGACGUGUUUUAGGUAUGAUAGCAGGGGUGUUUGACAUAUGUGCUCGGCCAGGGAAUCAUUCCAGAAUGUACCAUAUGUCAAACACCCCUGCUAUCAUACCUAAAAAAUAGUAUAGGACGGACUGAAAAAUGAAAAGAAAAGAAGAUAUGCGCCUAGCGGUAAAUACUUGUUUGUUUGAUUGCCAUAUCUAAUUAACAUAUUCAUGCCCAGCUUCCUGGCAUAUGUAAUUCCGGUUAUAUUUUAGCGUGGCUUCAACAAGAACAACCUCGCUGAUUACGUUGAUCAACAAGAGUACGCCUAAAACAUGACGCUGGCUAUUAUUCUUCUAAUAUUUAUCUUUCAUAUCCGUCCUUGUGUUGAUCAAUUCCUGUGUGCUCUAAUUAGUGCUAGUUCAAACUCAUUACCUAGAGAUAUCAUAAAUCAUUCCAAACAGGCCCUCUGUGGUUUUUUGUUGGGUGUACGAAUUGAAGCUAAAGAUGAAGUUGCAGUUAAUGGUCAUCCAUCUUGCUGCGAUUUCAACAUUAUCUCUGUUUUAUUUUGACCCUUUUAUUUUUUGGCAGUAAUGUUAGUCGUGAGAUAAGUGGCACCACUAAGUCAUAGGGAACUUGCUCUGCUUUUAUUUUGACCCUUGUGGAAUUCGGACCUCCUCUUUCUUGCAAGUAGUUGUCCAAAUGGAUUUGUGGAACAUGUGUUCUUCCGAGCUGAUCUAAUUGGCCGCUUCUUUUUUUACAGGUCAUCGGUAUAAUUCUUUUGCAUCCACAAAUUUGAAGAGGUGUGUUUUGUGAGCUAAAAGGAUGUUCUGUUGGGUUCUGUUUCUCUGUGUUCUAUUUCUAUUAACUGAAACAAGAUGUUAUAUUUGGCGCUUUUGUCUAUGGUGCAAUAACCUACAAAUGUAUGCCUAUGUGUGCAUGGGCAUACAUGAAGGAUCGUUGUGUUGUAAUACUGUACUUGUGAACCUAUAUAUGCUUGUAUACAUCAUGGAUUGUUGAGAUACAUAUAUUAUGUCUAAUUGAUGCAACUUUAAUUACUAUGCGUGCGUGUUGUUACAUAUGUACUAUACUUGUUGGCACAAAAUGAAGUGAAGACAAAUGAAUUGGAA